CUAGAAUCUAGCUCAUGAUAAGCAGAAGAUAUGUUAGGGAAUUUCAAGAGAUGAUAUAUCCAGGAGGCAGUGACAAAAUUAAGACAAACUGAAGCAAGGUCGAUGGCCUCCACUCUGAGAAAAUCCUGAGGAGCUGGUGGCCGCUUGAUUUCUUGCAUCCAUUAUAAGUGACCUGGGAAAAGUGCAGAAAGGGUCAGAUAGAGGGAUAGAAGAGAAUCCUGCAGAAGAAACGCCAGUCUCUCCACCACUUUGUCAAGAAGUCAUGCUUUCCCAUUCUGAUCUACAAAGGUACGAUGAGAAACCUUCUCAUGGUGCUGACAACAGAGGGUAUGGAGCCCAACACUGAGGAGACAGCAAAGGGUCACCAAGACCCAAGAGUCAAAGGGCACCAGAGAUGUGGCCAUCAGUUGCCAGGCUGGUGGGGCAGAUGUCUACUGGCUUCUUCAACAGGAAGGGAUUUUGUCCUUGCCUAAGCAGACAUGUUAGCUCCUGGUGAUUGGAUAUCUGACUUCUUAUCUCUCAGCUCAUACAUCCAGUCCUCACAGAAGUCCUUCCUGGUCA
This is a long non-coding RNA of Hyaena hyaena (striped hyena), 561 nucleotides long. RefSeq lists it as uncharacterized. The record is from RefSeq and is a predicted model, not a curated record. Lineage: Eukaryota; Metazoa; Chordata; Mammalia; Carnivora; Hyaenidae. The transcript is spliced from 3 exons.